UGGGGAAUAUUGCACAAUGGGGGAAACCCUGAUGCAGCGACGCCGCGUGGAGGAAGAAGGUCUUCGGAUUGUAAACUCCUGUUGUUGAGGAAGAUAAUGACGGUACUCAACAAGGAAGUGACGGCUAACUACGUGCCAGCAGCCGCGGUAAAACGUAGGUCACAAGCGUUGUCCGGAAUUACUGGGUGUAAAGGGAGCGCAGGCGGGAAGACAAGUUGGAAGUGAAAUCCAUGGGCUCAACCCAUGAACUGCUUUCAAAACUGUUUUUCUUGAGUAGUGCAGAGGUAGGCGGAAUUCCCGGUGUAGCGGUGGAAUGCGUAGAUAUCGGGAGGAACACCAGUGGCGAAGGCGGCCUACUGGGCACCAACUGACGCUGAGGGCUCGAAAGUGUGGGUAGCAAACAGGAUUAGAUACCCUGGUAGUCCACACUGUAAACGAUGAUUACUAGGUGUUGGAGGAUUGACCCCUUCAGUGCCGCAGUUAACACAAUAAGUAAUCCACCUGGGGAGUACGACCGCAAGGUUGAAACUCAAAGGAAUUGACGGGGGCCCGCACAAGCAGUGGAGUAUGUGGUUUAAUUCGACGCAACGCGAAGAACCUUACCAAGUCUUGACAUCCUGCGACGCACAUAGAAAUAUGUGUUUCCUUCGGGACGCAGAGACAGGUGGUGCAUGGUUGUCGUCAGCUCGUGUCGUGAGAUGUUGGGUUAAGUCCCGCAACGAGCGCAACCCUUAUGGUCAGUUACUACGCAAGAGGACUCUGGCCAGACUGCCGUUGACAAAACGGAGGAAGGUGGGGAUGACGUCAAAUCAUCAUGCCCUUUAUGACUUGGGCUACACACGUACUACAAUGGCGUUAAACAAAGAGAAGCAAGACCGCGAGGUGGAGCAAAACUCAGAAACAACGUCUCAGUUCGGACUGCAGGCUGCAACUCGCCUGCACGAAGUCGGAAUUGCUAGUAAUCGCAGAUCAGCAUGCUGCGGUGAAUACGUUCCC
RNAcentral lists this ribosomal RNA (996 nucleotides) under uncultured bacterium. RNAcentral describes it as "bacterial SSU rRNA". It matches the Rfam family "Bacterial small subunit ribosomal RNA", at positions 355 to 1375 of the family's 1533-position model. The record is from RNAcentral.